CCUUCCUAGACCCCCUCCCAUCACCCUUCUUCCUCCCACACCCCAGCCCCCGAUCCACCCACCCACCACCGGUCGUGCUCCGCCCAACUGACCCCCGGCGCCCCACCAGCACCCACCUCCGGUGCCCCAACGCGCCACCAGGUCCGCCCAACUGCCCCACCUACUCCGGCGCUCCCUUCCACGCCCACGGCAACCCCGUGUUCUCCGCCCGCUUCCUCGACACCAGCGACACCCAGGAACUCCCGCCCAUCGCAAUGCCAACAAGCCCCCUGGCCCAUGCGCCACCAUGAAUCUCGCGGCCCGACCGCCCGACACCCACGCGCCACCACACCUCGGCACCCCGAUCCGCCGCUGCCCUCCAUGCCACAGAGACGGGCCACCCCGGCCCAUAUCCACCAUGGACGACGACAUGCCGUUGUCACUUCCGUCCAUCCCUUCCUCCUCAUCAGAUGUAGUCGUAGGGAAAGGCCCGUGGUGUACUGGUCGGGACGCGCCCACUGGCCUGAACCAGCACCCUAGCGAGAGCCCAUUCUCCAAUAGGUGAAUGUCUCCGACGACGCGAGCUGAGGCCCCGUUGAAAAUCGGAUGAGAUGAAGUGGUGGAGUUCGGUUCGAUGCCCACGCGAGUCUCCUGCUCCAUGAAUCUGAGUUCGCCUAGAUCCUCGGUGUCUGUUUCUUGGUGCCCCUUCGGUGGCUGGAGAGACGAUGGCAUGGGCUCCCCUACACCACAACACCAGGGCAGCGCUCAUCCUCCGCUGCCGCAUCCUCUGCUUGCAACCGUCGUGUGGGACGAGCGGGAUCCAUUUGGGCUGCAGUUCAUGGGUGCAGCAUGUGCGGUGCACUCGGUCUGGUGCUGCAGCUUAUUCAGUAUGUUGUUCUCUAGGGAGACAACACCAAUGACCACUCCACUUGGAGAAGGAAGGGUGGUGCAGUUUGGUUGGAUGCCCCGUUUCUAAAAAAAAUUGUUGAAAACUGCAGCUCGUUGAAAAAAUGUUAAGUGGUGGAGCUCAUUGUAAACUGCAGCCCAUUCAGAGUUUGAAUGAAGUCACUUUGAAUGCCAUGUGAUGUGGCUGGGGAUAUAAUGCAUCCCGUCUCUGAAUUGAUGUCAAUUUUUUGUUGUGUUUUUUGCUGUGCAAAUAGAUGUUGGUUCUUGAUUGCUAAUUAGAAAAUACAACAUACAUUUUUCUAGAGCUC
Hordeum vulgare subsp. vulgare (domesticated barley) is the source of this 1193-nucleotide long non-coding RNA. RefSeq lists it as uncharacterized. The transcript has 2 exons. NCBI's taxonomy places the organism in Eukaryota, Viridiplantae, Streptophyta, Magnoliopsida, Poales, Poaceae. The record is from RefSeq and is a predicted model, not a curated record.